GGAUGUGAGGGCGAUCCGGCUGCAACAUCUGUCAUCCCAUUGGUCUCCAGGGUUGAUUCAGCUGAUCUGGCUAACUAGACGGGUGUUCCCUUCCUCCCUCAUUGCUCCAUGUGCAUCACUCCCGAAGCUGCAUGCUAGGUCAAAGAGGAUGACCGUCCCCAAUAUAGGAGGGCCAUUUUUUUGUCAAGGGUAUAUGAGUAGCUGCGAUCCCUUGUUAGAACCUCCAAAAAAACCUCUAAAAUGUUUAUAACUGAAAUGUUCACAGUAGCCAGAUUAAAGUAUCACUCUAGUUGUCCAUCAACAACAGAAUAUUA
This 314-nucleotide small nuclear RNA is filed under the name Castor canadensis (American beaver). RNAcentral describes it as "7SK RNA (ENSCCNG00000008446.1)". It matches the Rfam family "7SK RNA". From Rfam's summary of the family: 7SK was discovered as an abundant small nuclear RNA in the mid-70s but a possible function has only recently been suggested. Two independent studies have found that 7SK RNA binds the CDK9/cyclin T complex (known as elongation factor P-TEFb). The record is from Rfam by way of RNAcentral. Lineage: Eukaryota; Metazoa; Chordata; Mammalia; Rodentia; Castoridae.